UAUACUUCAACCAAGUAAGAAGAUGAACAUUGAAGAACAAAAUGAAAGAUCAAAGACAAUACUAAACAUUCAUCAAAGUUUCACCCUUACUCUAGCUAAAUGUUUAGAAAUACAUAGUGAAAUGUUACAAAGAAAAUGAAGGAAUCUAGAAUAUGAUGGAGAGAAUUGAUGCUUCAAAAUCGUGGCCAAGGUCCCCUUUUAUAGGCAAAGGAACAUCCAAAAUUCAAGUAGGCAAUGCAACUUGUUUCUGUCCAGCUUCAAGACCUGGAACAUGCAACCUGAUGCCAAUUUUCAGAUACAUUGUGCAGUGAAUUUGGACUUAUGAUCAACAGAUAAAAUAUUUCCACUUGAGUUAUCUUUACAUUGGUUCAAAGAUCAGGUUCAUUGGAUCUAAAUAACUCUAGAUAUGACAAAAACAAUAAGUACUGCUUCACAGGUAAAGCUGUAUCCGGCAGGUAACAAGCUGGACUUUGCAUGAUAAUUUUGGCUGCCUUGUGAUACGAAUUUGACUUCUUCCAAAACAUUAAAGUUGUAGAAACGUGCCUUAUCUUUCCAACUCAACUUGAAUCACCUCGAUCCAAUGUCUGCAGCUCAAGUUAUGAAUAUUUUACCGACAGCUGCUUCUUGCUUGAAGCAGUCACUAUUUUUGACUUUUCAACAUUAUUUUCCUCCACUUGCUCCACUUGUAAUAAAUUGGAAAUACAUGUGAAAUACAUCAAAUAGAUACUCUUUCAAAUGUAUAAUACUCAUGCCACCAUGUAUGUAAAUACGUAUUUCAAUUAAUUGCAUUUUUAACCAUGUAUUUAUGGAAAUUGAAUUUACGGCAUGAGAAUUGGAAUUAGAGACUAACAUUAGCGUUUUUUAAA
RNAcentral lists this long non-coding RNA (866 nucleotides) under Olea europaea subsp. europaea. Lineage: Eukaryota; Viridiplantae; Streptophyta; Magnoliopsida; Lamiales; Oleaceae. The record is from RNAcentral.